UACGUAGGUCCCGAGCGUUGCGCGAAUUCACUGGGCGUAAAGAGCUCGUAGGCGGUUUGUCACGUCUGCUGUGAAAACCCGAGGCUCAACCUCGGGCUUGCAGUGGGUACGGGCAGACUAGAGUGCGGUAGGGGAGAUUGGAAUUCCUGGUGUAGCGGUGGAAUGCGCAGAUAUCAGGAGGAACACCGAUGGCGAAGGCAGGUCUCUGGGCAUUAACUGACGCUGAGGAGCGAAAGCAUGGGGAGCGAACAGG
This 253-nucleotide ribosomal RNA is filed under the name uncultured bacterium. Its description in RNAcentral is "partial 16S ribosomal RNA". It matches the Rfam family "Bacterial small subunit ribosomal RNA", at positions 524 to 776 of the family's 1533-position model. The record is from RNAcentral.